GACGAACGCUGGCGGCGCGCUUAACACAUGCAAGUCGAACGGUAAGGCCCCUUCGGGGGUACACGAGUGGCGAACGGGUGAGUAACACGUGAGCAACCUGCCCUUGACUCUGGGAUAACAGUUGGAAACAGCUGCUAAUACCGGAUACGACCUUCGAUGACAUCAUCUGGAGGUGGAAAGCGCUUUAGCGGUCAAGGAUGGGCUCGCGGCCUAUCAGCUUGUUGGUGAGGUAACGGCUCACCAAGGCUUCGACGGGUAGCCGGCCUGAGAGGGCAACCGGCCACACUGGGACUGAGAUACGGCCCAGACUCCUACGGGAGGCAGCAGUGGGGAAUAUUGCACAAUGGGCGCAAGCCUGAUGCAGCAACGCCGCGUGCGGGAUGACGGCCUUCGGGUUGUAAACCGCUUUCAGUUCCGACGAAGCGCAAGUGACGGUAGGAACAGAAGAAGGACCGGCCAACUACGUGCCAGCCGCCGCGGUAA
This 483-nucleotide ribosomal RNA is filed under the name uncultured bacterium. Its description in RNAcentral is "partial 16S ribosomal RNA". It matches the Rfam family "Bacterial small subunit ribosomal RNA", at positions 28 to 523 of the family's 1533-position model. The record is from RNAcentral.